UACGCAGGCGGCCUCGUAAGACAGGUGUGAAAUCCCCGGGCUCAACCUGGGAACUGCAUUUGUGACUGCGGGGCUAGAGUUUGUCAGAGGGGGGUGGAAUUCCACGUGUAGCAGUGAAAUGCGUAGAGAUGUGGAGGAACACCGAUGGCGAAGGCAGCCCCUGGGAUGAGACUGACGCUCAUGUACGAAAGCGUGGGGAGCAAACA
Molecule: ribosomal RNA, 206 nt
Filed under: uncultured bacterium
Lineage: Bacteria
Description: partial 16S ribosomal RNA
Rfam family: Bacterial small subunit ribosomal RNA
Source: RNAcentral